GGAUGUGAGGGCGAUCUGGCUGCCACAUCCAUCACCCCAUUGCCAGGGUUGAUUCCGCUGAUCUGGCUGGCUAGGCGGGUGUUGGUCUGCUUCUAAGACCCCUUC
Molecule: small nuclear RNA, 105 nt
Filed under: Erinaceus europaeus (western European hedgehog)
Lineage: Eukaryota; Metazoa; Chordata; Mammalia; Eulipotyphla; Erinaceidae
Description: 7SK RNA
Rfam family: 7SK RNA
About the family: 7SK was discovered as an abundant small nuclear RNA in the mid-70s but a possible function has only recently been suggested.
Source: Rfam by way of RNAcentral